UGGCACAUCUUUAUGGGAGGGUGCACAAACUCUAUAAAAUAGGAUUUUAGGUCCUCCUUCUACCCUAACAUCACUCUCAUUAUUGGCUCCAUCACCAAGAGAGCAUUAAGGGGAGCUAGUGGGAAAAACCUAGAGAAUAUAUUGUAUUCAUGCUUGGGGUUGCAGGAAGGAUAUAACGGCAACGAAUUCUUUAUAGUCGAUGGUGAAAGGUAUGCGUCGACCCAUAUGGUUUAAUUUGUGAUUCCAUGAAUGUAUGGCAAGAUACUAUUGUUAUUAUAUAGUAGGAAUUUCGUCCUUCAAGUAGUAUCAGAGCGUAUGGUUACGCCAAUGCGUUCUUGAAUCACAUGAAAUUUAAUCUAUGUAUUUUGAACACUCCUAUGUCGAUGCACGAAACAAUGGUUUCAUAUACGAAAGAUUUAUGAUUACGUUGUGCGACGCUACGUAAAUCGCACAUCAGUGCUUUGCAUAUUACUGCACAUAGUUUUUUAGCCACGAGGACCCUUGGCCGUAAUUGGCUCUCAUUCUGAGCGCAGCAUCGGCUGCAACUCGAUGAAGUUUUUUUGUUUUGAAAAUAAGGGAUAAUGAUGAGUACUGUUCAUGAAUGGUAUUCGGUACUAUUCAUGAACAGUACCCAUAUUAUAUUAAAGUUGGUUUGUGGGUUAUGUCAUCAUUGAAUAUUUAUUUAUUUUUUAUUUUAUUUUAUUUUUUUUGUAUAAUGCAUCAAUGAUGACAUUGAAUGAUAAUUAUUUGAUGACCAAAAGUGGUCAACGUAGUUAUGAUAAUAUAGAUCCGAUCGAUCGGAUCGGCUUGAAUGGGAUGAAUUGUAUUAGUUUUGAUAUUAGUCCAUAUGAUUCAUGAUCGAUAUCAUACGGACAAUCGCAAAAUCCCCUCAUUAAUUUAAAAAUCCCCUUUAUGUUAUUCUCUUGGGAUUCACAAGUAUUGAAAAAUUUAAACUUUAAUUGUAAAUUAGGGUUUAUUUGUUAUACUUUACCCAAAGGGUUUAUUUUGUAUAAUGUAAUUCAGGGUUUGGUUUGUAGACCCUUCUUAAAAAGAAAAUUACAUUUUUACCCUUAUUGACUUAGGUCAAAUGGUAGGAUACUUUAUAUGAUUCACUUUAUAGUUAUUGAUAUGAUGAUGCAUAUUACCAACUGAAUUUCUAAGAAUUUUAAAAUACUAUUUAUAGUAAAAAUAGAUAGAAAUCUGUGUUGUCUAUGUCUUUAUGCAUUAUUUUAGAACACCUAUGAUGCUUGGAUGACAAUUUAUGUUAAAUUUAAAUUAAAAGUGUAUAAUUCUCAAAUUUAAAUGCGUUUGGGGCAUCAAGGAUUAUGUGAUUAAGUUGAAUGAGAGUAUCCAUAGGUACAUAAUUUUUUUCUUGAUCACAAUAAUUAUAUGUUGGCCUUAAACAUAAUUGUAUCACAGAUUCAAUUUAAAUUUUAAACUUUAGAGUCUUAUGAUGAUCGUUAUGUAACAGUCAAGAUAGAAUGACAAUAUCCGCAGAUAUUCAUUCUUGAUUGAAUGCGUUGAUCUAUAUAUGAUAGUUUAACGGUCAAAUAUGAUAAGAAUAUCCACAGGUAUACAUCUUAUUUGAUCAUUUUGAUGACUUAAAUAUUUUACCCUAAUGAUGUCUUCCAUCUAAUGUAAAGUGAACCACUAAUGUGUUACCAUCUCAAUCCUACAUGAUAGAUUGUAAUGAUGCAAUAAGUUACUUUUUUGGGUUAGGUUCUAUCAAUGCUUGCGGUUAAGGUUUUUGAGGAAAAAUAAAACCAACACCAUGAAGCUGGCAAGUAAGUUGGAUUAGCAUUCAAAUUAAUAGAUAUGUUGUCUAUAUUAUCAUAACAAGUUGGGUCAAUUUUUUAUCAAAGGCUAUUAUGCCUAAUGAAAAAAAGUUGGGCAUGUAAAGAGUGCUCAGCACUGUUUUUUACUCUUAUCCCCCUUGGAAAUAUUUCUCUACUCUUUUUUUUUAUGGUAGUCUUUCUAUUGGUUGAAUUGCUAACUCUCGAAAAGUUAAUAGCAUGUCCAACCUGCUCCUUAUAUAAAAGGUCAGUUAUAUUUGAAUAAAUUUUUUUUAAUACUAAAAUAUAAAAAUGAAAUUCAUUAUUGAAAAGGAAGAGGCAUAUACCGGAUUUUUAGUUAUAAAGAUAGGAGUUGGAUUGGUGAAUUGGUCGAUUCGAAACAGAAGCAGCCUCGACUGUUUCAAAUCUGUUUUCAGCUGAUUUGAAUUGGAAUUGACACUGAUCGAUUCAAUUUCCACUUCUGCCUUAAAGCAUGAUAUUUGAUAAGCAUGUAUUAUUUACUCUUGUUCAUAGGUUCAACACCUAUCUCUAUUUAAAAUAACGUGCCACUUUUGAAUUGAUCAAACUUUAAUGACUGGCAUGAAGAAUUCAUUUAUUAUCUUGCUGCCAUGGAUCAUGAUUAUGCCUUACAUAAUGAGAAACCAGUUGCUCUCACUGAUGAGAGCACUAAUGAUGAUGUUAUAUUAUAUGAUUGGUGGGAGCGUUCCAACCGUCUUUGCCUUUUAUAUAUCAUGAAGACAAUUAGCAAGACUAUCAAAAGUUCCAUACCAACUUCUGAAAAUGUAAAGGAAUACCUAAUCAAUGUAGAGAACCGUUUUACUAUUGCUGAUAAAUCUUUUGUUGAGACUUUGAUGACCAAAUUAGGAACAAUGAAGUAUACUGGUACUAAUGGGAUAAGGGACCAUAUCUUUGAAAUGGCAAGUAUCUGUGCACAACUAAAACCCCUUGAAUUGAUAAUGAAUGAAGGUUGCCUUGUCCAAAUCAUUAUGACUUCAAUUCUUCCUCGUUUUGGAGCAUUCAAGAUCCACUACAUUACAAAUAAAGAUUAGUGGACUCUAAAUGAACUUCAGAGUAUGUGCGUCCAAGAGGAAAGGAGAUUAAAUGAUGAGGAAGUCAGGUGGUCAAUUUUGUAUCCAACCAGAAUAAAAAGAAGAGAGAGAAUUUUAAGAAAAACAAUGCAUCAAAGAAAACCUCAAAUCCAAAGUCUGAUGAUAAGAAAAAUAAAACUAACAAGUUGAAGUGUUUCUUCUGUAAGAAAGUAGGACACCUUCAGAAAGACCGUCAGAAACCCAAGACCUAGCUCGAAAAGAAAGGGCUUUCAUACAACCCAAAAACCGAAUCAAAGUAAGAGCGUCGUCUACAUGGUAAAUCGGCAAGAGUCUAAAGUUUGAUCCAUCAGCACUUAUAGACUCAUUUUGGAUAUCAGAUUCUAGUUGGACCUUAUGGAUACUCUUUAUAUUCCUUCUAUUUCUAAAAAUUUGGUUUAAUUAUUGAGACUUGAUUGUGAAGGUUUUAAGUUUACUUUUGGUAAUAAAGUUGUAAACGUUUUUAAAGACAUCAAUCUAGUUUGCACUGGAUAUUUA
Macadamia integrifolia is the source of this 3376-nucleotide long non-coding RNA. RefSeq lists it as uncharacterized. The transcript has 2 exons. The record is from RefSeq and is a predicted model, not a curated record. Lineage: Eukaryota; Viridiplantae; Streptophyta; Magnoliopsida; Proteales; Proteaceae.